RNAcentral lists this ribosomal RNA (433 nucleotides) under uncultured bacterium. RNAcentral's name for it is "partial 16S ribosomal RNA". It matches the Rfam family "Bacterial small subunit ribosomal RNA", at positions 29 to 507 of the family's 1533-position model. The record is from RNAcentral.
AACGAACGCUGGCGGCAUGCCUAACACAUGCAAGUCGAACGAGACCUUCGGGUCUAGUGGCGCACGGGUGCGUAACGCGUGGGAACCUGCCCUUAGGUUCGGAAUAACUCCCCGAAAGGGGUGCUAAUACCGGAUAAUGUCUUCGGACCAAAGAUUUAUCGCCUUUGGAUGGGCCCGCGUUGGAUUAGCUAGUUGGUAGGGUAAAAGCCUACCAAGGCGACGAUCCAUAGCUGGUCUGAGAGGAUGAUCAGCCACACUGGGACCGAGACACGGCCCAGACUCCUACGGGAGGCAGCAGUGGGGAAUAUUGGACAAUGGGCGAAAGCCUGAUCCAGCAACGCCGCGUGAGUGAUGAAGGCCUUAGGGUUGUAAAGCUCUUUUACCCGGGAUGAUAAUGACAGUACCGGGAGAAUAAGCUCCGGCUAACUCCGUG